UGAUGAACAAGGACUCCUAGAUCUCUUUGUAUUUCUCCCUUACCUAACUCUACACCAUUCAGAUAACAAUCUGCCUUCCUGUUCUUAAUCCCAAAGUGGAUAACCUCACACUUAUUCACAUUAAACGUCAUCUGCCAAGUAUCUGCCCACUCACCCAGCCUAUCCAAGUCACCCUGAAUUCUCCUAACAUCCUCAUCACAUGUCACACUGCCACCCAGCUUAGUAUCAUCAGCAAAUUUGCUGAUGUUAUUUUCAAUGCCUUCAUCCAAAUCGUUGAUGUAAAUUGUAAACAGCUGUGGUCCCAAUACCGAGCCCUGUGGCACCCCACUAGUCACCACCUGCCAUUCCGAGAAACACCCAUUCACCGCUACCCUUUGCUUUCUAUCUGCCAACCAGUUUUCUAUCCAUGUCAAUGUCUUCCCCCCGAUGCCCUGAGCUUUGAUUUUACCCACCAAUCUCCUAUGUGGGACCUUAUCAAGUUGCCUUUCUUUUGGCAAUCAACUUAAUCUGUGAUAUUUUGCUAUUGGGUGUUGGAUCAGUGAAUAGAAAUCCAUCCUUGUGUCAUCUCACACAGAUUAUCCCUGUUUACUAUGUCUCUCUGUCUGUCCCUCGAUACUCCAACACCUGAAAGCGUUUGCUGAUGCUAAAUAAUAUUACCCUUAACUAGUUCUUUUCUCAGGUGCCCAACCCCAACAUGCUCCACAUAACUAAGCAUGUGAGAAUAAGUCCAGUACCUCAAGUAUUGACAGAUUUAAAUUAGGAGAGGACAAGAUUAUUCAGUAAACAGACACCAUUGCAGCAGAUCCUGUGUAUAAUCAAGAGAAACAAUAUCUUGAAAAACUUCAUUACUGUGGUUGGAAUAACAAAAUCGAAAUCCACUUACACAUCACCACACUGAAGGAAGAGAGAUGGAAAUUUAGGGCUUUAUAUUGACUUCAGUGAAAUUAAUAGAAAGAACACAACAUUCACACCACUGAUUUCAGUAAUUGAAGAACAUUGAAAUUCAUGGCCUGAAGAACUGAGUGAAGAAAAAGCAUAUUAUCCAAGCUUUAGUUUAAUAGACAGGAGACUGCUCAGCAUUGUGGAGACUCAAAACACCUCCGUUAAUGAAUAUAAAUUCCAUUUUUACAGGAUACAUGAACAAAAGGAUUUUCAAGCAUCCUUGCAAAAUGAAGUGGCUCUGAAGAAAAAUAAUUAUCUGAGGUAAAGGAGAAGAGAAGGGUAGGAAUGAAAGAAGAUGGGAGAUGGAGGAGAUGCAUACUUGCUAAGAGAUGAGGAGGGUGGAGAAAUGAGGAGCUGGAACAGCCGAGCAUUGAAAAUCAUUAUUUGGUAUCACAAUCUGGAGAUAUAUUUGUAACCUUGAUUCUGUUUUUAAAAAAUGAGCCAAAGGAGCAAUUGUCUACAAUCAGACCAUGGAUUAAAGCUGCAAGGGACAGAACAACACAGAAGCUUAUUUUGGCACUGAAAAAUUUACUCAAUGUUUCACUGAAAUUCAAUUGCUUGUCAUUAAACAUAAAAUCCUCCAUUAAUUGGUACAAUUAAGCAGCAUGAUAUUCUUUUCACUUGCAUUAAAGAAUAUCCCUGAUGUAUUCAGGCAAUUUAGAUCACCUUUAUUAAUACAGUUUAAAGUGGGUUUAUAGGAACAGUAUGAGCAUUUGUUAAUACAAGGGCAUUAACCCAUACACUGUAAAUAAUUUGAAUUUCAGUCACUGAAAGACUAUCAUUGGUAAAAGAAACAUUUAUUAGUUUCACUGAUACUACUUAGUCUUUUUCAUUCAAAUUGAAAAAAAAUUUAUAUACUUCAAUAGUAGUCUUGUAACUAAAAUAAAAUUUAAUUAUAAGACCUUCAUUAAAGUCCUUUAAGAGCAGAGAUAGAGUAGUGAUUAAAAAAAUGUUGAAUGUGGCUAAUUUUGACUGCAGUUCCUGCUUCCAGUUCACAGAUUUUAAUCUAAAUAUAAUCUAAUUAUCUAAAUAUAGCACCAAUGAGAGAGUGUGAUACUCGCUAUGGCAUGUGGGGCAGUGCAGUAGUGGCUAGCGUAAUGAUUUACAACACCAGCUGUAAUAUGGGGGUUCAAUUCCCACCACUGCCUGUACGGUAGCUUGUAUGUUGUCCCAGUGGCUGUGGGUUUCCUCCCAUAUUCCAAAGAUAUACGGGUUAGGGCUAGUAAGCUUUGAGCAUGUUACUUUAGUGCCAGAAGCACAGAUACUUGUGAGCUGCCCUCAGCACAUCUCAGACUGUAUUGGUCCUUGGUGUAAACAACAUAUUUCACUCUACGUUCCAUUGUUUCAUUGUGGCAAAUAAAUCUAAUAUUUAAUCUAUCUUUAGAUUCACCAGGUGUUAUCUGGGACGAAGCAGUUCGGUUAUGAAAAGAGACUUAAAAAACUAGGUUCGUUCUCCUUGAUUCGGAGGGGUGGUGUCAUGACUGUGGUAGAUAAAAACAUGAGGGGUAUAUAUAGGGAAGACUGCGGGAAUCUUUUUCCUAUAUUAAAGAAAGGUAAAAAGUGAGAACAUAGAUUUAGAGUGAGGGGGAAGAGGUAUGGGAGCCUGAAGACCUACAUUCACCAUUCGAGGACAGCUUCUUCCUCUCUGCAAUCAGAUUUCUGUGUUGUCCAUAAACACAUGAACACCAGCUCAUUAUUCAUCUUUUGCUCUAUUUAUUUAUAGUAAUUUUUAGUCUUGCACUGUACUGUUGCCAAAAUAACAACACAUAUCAAAACGUGUUAGAGAUAAUAAGUCUGAGUCUGAUUCUGAUUUAGACGAGAUCUGAGGAGGACCUAGAGAGCUGUUGCUGGAAAGGUUGCUUAAAGCUGGGUUGUUGUCAACAUUUAUGAAUGUUCAGUCCAGAUGGCGCUGAGCUGCAGUCUCUGGCGAGGUUGAAACUCAGUUCUUUUGUUUUAGUUUUUUUUGUUUAUAUGGAUGAUUUUGGAGGCAGACAGGGGAAUUAGGGGUCAAGUUAGGGCUUAAGGAUAGGGAUGUGGGGGAAUUAGCAGGCAGGCCGGAGAUUAAGCCUCCAAUACGUGCUCAAAGGUCAACAACAUAGAUGAGGUCAAAUGUCGGGCUGGUAAAGCAGUGAGAAUGGGGGGCCCCCUAGAUAUGCAACUCAGCAAGACCAGAGCUCGUGGCCUAGUGUUCGAGGUCCCAUCAUCAGUGGCCUGUAGUUCGGUCCUUCACCCUGAGUCCUCAUUCAUCUUUGUCAGUAGAUACUGAAGACCAAAGCCCAAAGGUAAUCGGAAGUCCAGAAGUUGAGACACUAUGGCCAGACCCUGAGUGUGCAAAUUUCUGUCAGUCUGCUGGGGAAGUUGAAGGCCAAGUGUCUGCAAAUCCAGGUGUCCACGGAGGCUGGAGGCCAAAGACAGCGUGUCCUGAUAUUAGAGGACUAUACAUGUGUGUGGGUGAAUGAAUGGUUGAGAGGAACAGGACUUGUUUUGUUGUUGUUGCUUGGUAUAUUCUGUUUUCUUGUGUUUGGUGUUGUUCUGCUGAACAUUGUAGACAUGCUAUGUUGGUCCCAGAAUGUAUGGUGACACUUGCGGGGUGCCCCCUGCACGUCCUUAGGUUGUGUUGGGUGUUAACGCAAGCAAUGCAUUCCAUUGUAUGUUUCAAUGUACAUGUGAUAAAUAAAUAAAACUUGACCCAAAAUGGAGAGUAUAAACACAAAGAGAUUCUGCAGAUGCUGGAAAUCCAGAGUAACAUGUACAAAAUGCUGGAGGAACUCAGCAGAUCAGGCAGCAUCUAUAAACAGGGUCUCAGCCUAAAAUAAACAGGGAAGAAACAGUGUCUCACCCCAAAAUAUCAACUAUUUAUUCCUCUAUAUAAUUGCUGCCUGACCUGCUGAGUUCCUCCAUCAUUUUGUGUGUGUUGCUGCCAGUGGAGACUGUCUGGCACACUUUUGUGUGUUGUUUAGCACAACUGACAAUUAUUUAAUAUCAGCCGUUAACCCAGUCACAUGAUGAGGCUCAUCCCACACAUUUCCUCCACUGCCAGGAUAAAUUGGAGUUCUUGGCAUAAUCUAUGACAGUUAUUCAACAUUAAAAUCUCAGCGCUCAAACAAAACAUUAUUUAAAAGACUAAAGCUGUGAUAUUGAUGUCUUUUACAUAGAUUCUUCCAGUCUCUGUUUUUCAUGGUCAAUACAAUGGAAAGCACAUCUAUGUUCAGACCUACUUGUACAAAUCACACUAGGACUAUGAUCUCUGCUCUCCCUUGAUCAUCCCACAGCUCACAGUAAAAUGGGGUCAAAAGUGGCAUGGGACCCAAUCAAAAAGGGCACCAUUCAAUGGAGGAGGGUAGUUGGAGAUGGCCACAUCUCCUUUCCCAUUCACUUCACCUCACUCCCAUGGCAGCCAUUUAUGAAGAUGUUCUGAGGAUGUCUUGGGGAAAUUGACUUAUGGAUCUGCUGCUUUUCCUACUGAUCAGUACAGAAUGAUAAAGCAGUGAGACCUUGACAUAAGUCCCAAAGUGAAUCAAACAGAUCCUGUUUUAACAACCAGUUCUGUGUUGUUCGCUCCAAUCUCCUUAUUUUGCCUGUGGAUCUGAGUGUACAUUAGUACUGUCAACACAAAGUUCACCACCGCAGAGGUUUUUAAGCAUUACUGUUGAUGCAGGACAAGACAUCAUCUAAUCAUUAAGUUGAAGUCAACUUAGCCUAAAAUUUCAAACACUGAAGCUCUUAUUGCUGAUUAAGUCCUGAAGGUACCUACAAUUAAUAGUCAAGAGGUUAUUUUGAAGAAUCUAAAGAGUUGCCACAGUUCCAGAUGAAUCCAGUCAGAAAUGGUUUUGUUUCUGACUGCUAUUCUCUUUUGGAAUUCUGAAGCGUGGUACCUAAGUCUGUCAGAUUUUUUUUACACUUUUGGCAUAUGAUAUUAGAUAGCCUCAUUAUCUUUAUGUCUGCACUCCACAAAACUUUGUUGAUUGAAGUUGUAAUAUAUUGAGUGGGUAAGACAUAUGUUAUUUAAUUCAACUUAGAUAAAUUGUGACUGCAUUAUUGACUUCAAGAGGCGAGAGCCAUUCGAAACUUUGUCAGUUGCCUUGAUGCACUUCUGCUGUUCAUUUCAGCUGCAGCAAAGAAGCUUCCUGAAACCUAAGAAGCUGUUUGGUUAGCUGCAACAAAUUUAUCACUCUGGCCAACUACUCAUCAAUUAAUUAAAUUCAUCAAAGCAACAAUUAGCUGGCAACUGUAAGUAUUUAGCAUGGUGAUGCAAGAAACAAAUUAAUAGUGGAUGUUUUAACCGACUUGCAAACACAACAGGCAAACUCAAAUGAAAAUGAAUCAACAUACAGUGUCCACAUAAGCAAUGGACUGAAGUAAGUGAAUGAGAACAGAUGAACAUUUGAACUGAGCACACAAAUUUCUGGUUUAUCACCACCAGCUCUUGUUUGCUUCUCCCCAUAGUACAAGUUGCUGGACAUGACUCAUUGCCCAGUGUCACAUCCUGCAGUCCUCACCUACCUGUACUUACUUUGGGUUGGACGUGGAGAGAAGAACUCAUUGACCCUCACACCAUCAAGUCUAACAACAGAAACUUAGCAGCGACUGGGUGUCAGGUGACAUAGGGCAGAAAGCUCUGCCCUCCAGGAUUCCCCUGACAGAAGGUCCAGCUGGGGGUUCAAUCAAAACUAUCCCCACAGAUGGUGAACACUGAAGAUGGAAUAAAAUCUCUAGUCCAGGUUGAUGCUGGAUCCCAAGAGAGAGAAUUUGUGGAAUGCCUAUGAGGCAGCUUGUGAUUGAGCCUACCAGGGGAUCAGCUAUUCUGGAUUGGAUGCUGUGUAAUGAACUGGAUUUGAUUACGGAGCUUAAGAUACUGAGUAGUUGUUGCUAACUAGUUUCAAGAUGGAAAAGCAUUCAAAAUGUGAAUAACCAGAUGACCUGUUUCUUCUGAGGCUGUAAUUGCAUUAUUACUGACUGUGAAGGAGUCUGAAUUAGAGAUAUUUAGAAAAUGGCAAAGCAAAGCAGUGUUUCUUUUAUUGUGUGAAAUAUCUUUAUUUGAAGUUGCCAGAUCACAGCAAGGUUAAUGAAAUGUCUGAUACUGGUAUACUCUUCACUUUCUCUCAAGCUUUUUAUCAUUUGAGAUUAUCCCCGUUUACUCAUGAUCAUCUUGGGGAUCAAUGUGUUGAUGAUCCAAUGUCAGCUUUCCCUACCUGUGGCCUUCAUCUCAGUGGUCAACCUGCCAAUAUCUACUGAUGACUAAUUGUCCCUUUUUCUGACUGUAGUACUUUCAUGGCUAAGAAGUUGAAGUUGAGCUUAUUACCAUAUGAGCAUAAAUGUUAUUUAGUUAUUGAGAUACAGUGUGGAAUAGGCUGUUCUGGCCUUCCAGGUGACACCAACCAACAAUCUCCUGAUUUAAUCUGAGCCUAAUCAUGGGACAAUUUACAAUGAGAAAUUAACCAACCAACUGGUAUGUCUUUGGACUAUGUCAAGUACCUGGAGCACCCAGAAAACAUCCACGCAAUCACGGGGAGAAUGUACAAACUCCUUACAGGUAGCAGCAGGAAUUGAACUCAGAUCGCCUGUGUUGUAAGGCGUUGUGCAUGGGUGCAAUGAACAGUUCACUUGCAGCAGUGACACAAGCACAUAACAUCAGAUAAGCUGUACUCACCAGAAAAAAACCAUUAAACAUAAAUUAUGUGCAUUUUUAGGAGGAAAAAAAAGUUAGAGCACAAACAACAAACUAAAACAGAGUUUUCACCCUUAAGGUAAAACCGUGCUGUCAUAAUAAUUGCAACGGGUGCCUUUUAGAUAUGACAUAGUUUUGCACUUCCCAUCUACCCAGUAGCCACUUCCCCCAACUUGAACAAACUGGUGCAGCCCUUGCCCCACUCCCCCUACCCCCCCACCAUUUCCUGUCUGGUGUCUGUGUCAACAGAGUGUCACAAUGUCAUAACAGUGGAAUGAGAAUCCAAAUGGCCAAUGGAAUUUAUUUUUCACAAUAGGAUUUGAUUUCAAGCUGUUUUGAUGGAAUUAUGCAUUGACGUUGAUGUACAGUUAAGGUGGGAACAAAAAUGUUAAGAAUUUCCAACAUCUGCUGCCUGUUCAGACACACAGCUUCAAUUAUUACAGUUUUGUUUGCAUAUCUCAAGUGCUCUUCGUAAGGUUGUCAUUUUUCUCCCCUGCUGACUCUGGCUCAGAUUUUUUUUGACUAUUUGGAGCCUAUAUUAUGACAGUAUUGUGAAUAUUGACCAAGAUUUUUCUCACUCUCUCUCCCAUACCCCACCUUCUCUGUCCCCCCCCCCCCCCCCACUCUCCCCUCUCUCUCCCAAAGUAAGCUGGAAAGCUGGAAUUGUGGAGUAUAUGUGCUCUCUCUGAAGGCACCUACACAGCCUGCCAGCCCUGUAGGUAUUGCAACAAUAUGCAGAAAUUUCAUUACACUCAUGGAGAAAGUCACAGAGAGCUCCAUUAUUUACAAGGAUAAUGGAAUUUGUACCUAUUCACAUUUUGCAGUGUAUCUCUCCCUUGCCGGAAAAUGCUCUUAUUUUCAAUACAUUAAUAACAGUGUG
This is a long non-coding RNA of Hypanus sabinus (Atlantic stingray), 7490 nucleotides long. RefSeq lists it as uncharacterized. The transcript has 4 exons. The record is from RefSeq and is a predicted model, not a curated record. NCBI's taxonomy places the organism in Eukaryota, Metazoa, Chordata, Chondrichthyes, Myliobatiformes, Dasyatidae.